GAGAUCGCAGCAGAGAAAAAUAAAAGCAAGCUGAAACCCUCACAGCCGAGGAAAGGGUGGCAGCUGGCUUUACCUUACCAUAUGCUCUUGAGAUACUUAAAGACACAUUUUGAACUCAGUAUUCUGAAAUGUGAAUAUCAAACUGUUUGGCUGCACUGAAGGAUGUGAAGCAACAUAAAUAAUUAAUGUCCCAGGAAUCCCUUGUUCUGGAACAAAAUGACCUGCCAAACGUAACAGUGAGGGGUUACUGGCAGGUCCGGACCCGCUGAGGGGAGGCCAUUGUGAACCUCAUAGUGCCUACAGGGUUUGCUACACUUUAAUUCUUCACCCUCCUACUCUGGACGUGAUAAUAAUUUUAUAAGACAAAUACCCAGGAGCUGUCUAUCACCUGGGAGGGAAACGGUAGGCGUGAGGCUAUUGUUAAAAGGAAUCUGGGACCUCCCUCACCACCACCACCACCACCACCACCACAGCAAAGAGGACUGCAAGGGGGCAAUGGUCUUCACCACAAGGGGACCACCAUGCUGCUCUCCAAGGAACCAGCGUACCCCUUAGUACUGGGAGAAUCCCCUCAUUGCUAAUAUCAUCCUGCCUGGAAGGUGGCAGCAAAAACCAGCCAUGGAGACUGUGGAGUCCGCCUGGAUGGGUGGGUGCCCCACCCAGAGCCUUUGUCCGCUCUGCUUGUCACCCAGCAAAGUCAUCCCCCCUCAUCUUUUGCUGGGGACCCCCAGCCCUCAUAGAGGGGGCUUGCCUGGCACCUGCUAUGGCAGUGGAACAUCAGGAGACCCUUUAUAUGUGUUUAAAAUUUUUCAUUUUGGUGUACUAUCCUGUCCCUGCACAGAUUGGCAGGAGGUCCUUUCCCAACUCGUCCUUCAGCUGCCCUUCACCGCAGAUCUCUUUCCUAGGGGUCAUGGCUCAAGAUCUGCCUGAAAAAUCACCCCUCUGUGAUGCACUGGAGAAGAGAAAGAGGUCGAUGCAUCGUUUCUGUUUUUUUGUUUUGUUUUGUUUCUACAAUAGAUGGUCGAACGACGGGGAUCCACUUAGCUGGCAGGUAACAUUUCAUGUUUUUGCUAGUGGACCCUAAAGCCAGAUGGAGAAGGUGAUGGAUCUCCUGCCCCGCGGUACAACCUGCAGUGCUGUCCCUUGAGCUUGGCGCGCUGCGCUGGGGGUGUCGGGCCGCUCCCGCUCAACCAGACUGUGGAGACCCUCAGGACGACUCUUCCCAGGAGGCGCGCAUCCCGCCUCUCUACCUGGGGCUGGAGCCUCCUCACUUUGAGAACACACAACUUCGUUGCCUAAAAGGGACGCGCGGCUCGCCAUCCCCGCUAGAUGGCGCGAUUUCCCCUGCUCCGUCCGCGAGGCACCCGAUUUAUUAAAUAAACACAAUUCAACGCCUUCCGAAGCCACACCACAUAAUAGCAACUCGCAGGCUCCUAUUAAAAAUCUCAAUCUGGGGGAACGGAUUGUGCCUCCGAGCAAAUCUAAUGCAAUUUCAUUAACGGGAUGCAACCAAGAAUUGCAACCUAGCGUCCCUGCCCUCCCGUGGGCCCUCCCCCUAAGUACACCUGUACCCCGGCUUCGGCCGGUUCCCUGGGGGAGCCACGGCGCGAGCCGGGCGUGGAACCGUGUCCGCGCCCCGCCCGCCACACCCUCGGGGCUCCGAUCCGCGAGCACAGACCCAAGUCCCGGACCCUCCCGCGCUCCGGUGCGCCCGGUUCUAGGGACCGCUCGGACCCGAGUCCCGACCAAGCAGCGCCCAGGGCCCCGGGAGCAGGCGCUCGUCUCGCGACCGUGCCGCGGGGGCAGGCAGCCAGGCGGGAGCAGGAGGAGGGGACCCGGGGCAGCCGGGCCAAUGGGGGUGCACGGCGGUCGGCCCUCCGCCCGCUCCGUCCCGCGGCGGAGAGGAGCAGACGCGCCGCAGGACCGGGGCUCCCCGCCCGCACGCGGCCCAGGAGACGCUCGCCGGCUCGGCCCAAGCACGCGCUGCCGGCGGCCCGCGGAGAGCAUCGCAGGAAGAAAGAGCAAAUAUUAAACCACAGAAACUUUACUGCUGCCAAGAGCUAGAGCGAUCGGGGCGCAGCAAAGCUCCGAGUCUGGGCAAGGCGGGCGCAAGGCGGGAGCGAGACGCGGCGCGGGGCUGGCGGCUCAGCACUGCCGUGGCCCCGCGGGUGCCGGGGCG
Canis lupus familiaris (dog) is the source of this 2179-nucleotide long non-coding RNA. RefSeq lists it as uncharacterized. The record is from RefSeq and is a predicted model, not a curated record. The transcript has 3 exons. Lineage: Eukaryota; Metazoa; Chordata; Mammalia; Carnivora; Canidae.